GACGUAGGUGGCAAGCGUUGUUCGGAAUCACUGGGCAUAAAGCGCACGUAGGCGGCCAAGUAAGUCAGGUGUGAAAUACCUCGGCUCAACCGAGGAACUGCGUCCGAUACUGCUUGGCUUGAGGUCCGGAGGGGAGAGUGGAAUUCCCGGUGGAGCGGUGAAAUGCGUAGAGAUCGGGAAGAACGCCGGCGGCGAAAGCGACUCUCUGGUCGGAAUCUGACGCUGAGGUGCGAAAGCUAGGGGAGCAAACGGG
Molecule: ribosomal RNA, 253 nt
Filed under: uncultured bacterium
Lineage: Bacteria
Description: partial 16S ribosomal RNA
Rfam family: Bacterial small subunit ribosomal RNA
Source: RNAcentral